Gadus morhua (Atlantic cod) is the source of this 1338-nucleotide long non-coding RNA. RefSeq lists it as uncharacterized. The transcript has 3 exons. NCBI's taxonomy places the organism in Eukaryota, Metazoa, Chordata, Actinopteri, Gadiformes, Gadidae. The record is from RefSeq and is a predicted model, not a curated record.
UGCAUGGAUGAGAUCACAUGAUGGAUGGGGAGGAACAUAUGGCGUUUAGCUCGGGGUCCUCGCCGAAGGUGACUCAGCGCUUGCGCUGUGAGGGGAGAAUUCAGGGACUCCGGGACAAAUCAGAUGUAGGAGAAAAGGUAUUGUUGACGGUACCGUGUCUGUGGGCGGGGGCAUGCUGGACAGGGCCGAGAGAGGAAGUUGGAUCGUUUCUCCUUGACACUUGAAGCGGAGCAGGCCAGAAGUGCCAUUCAGUAGUUUGACAGAGAUUGAAUCUGAGACCUGUGGACACCAAAAGAAAGGAUUUGCAGUUGUGAAAAUAUCUUCUUCUGCAGCCUAAGCCAAAUUAUAAGUGGAAAGAAACACAGAUUUACCCUCAACCCUCACCUGUAUGAGAACCCUCUCCUUGGAGCCCGAACCUCCCAGCCAGGACCACUCUUUGGUCACGGUGCCGUCCGGGCCACAAAGCUUCCCCCCAGCUCGGUCCCAAAGAGCCGAGACGACCCCACUAGAGCCAAGAGACACGACCAACACUGGCUGAACUUAUAAACUCGAAAUGUUUAAAACUUGUGAUGUUUGUACAAUGUAUUGAAGCGUUGUAUAUACAGUGUUUCAGACUUUUGUGAUGAAGAUAUGUUUUUUGUACUGCAGGUGUGUUUAUAUGUCUGUGUAUUGUUAUUUAUUUUAUGUGGACCCCAGGAAGAAGAGCGACCACAGCUGUGGAAGCUAACGGGGAUCACUGAAUAAAGAUAAAGAUAACUCGAGUCCAUCAUCCACUCUGUUCAGAUAUACAAAUCAUAAAAACCAGGAAAAGAGGCUGAUUAUUCAAUGCGCUCUGAGAGCGCAUUGAACAAUCAGCCUCUUUUCCUGUUUUUUAUGACGGAGGGAGGGCGGAACCUCGGACUCACCUGACGGCGUGCGUGGCAGCACCGCGACCGAACGCGGUCAUGCUAGCGAUGACCGCGGGGCUCGGGCGGUCGCUGAACACGUUGGUGUAGAAGCCUCCGCAGGGCAAACCCGAUCCGGUCUGGCACACCGCCACGCCCCCGGACGGGUAACUGAGACGCCAGCGCUAAGGGUUCAAGGGGGUCAGACGGAAUGGCACGCACAUGCACAAGCACAUGCACACACGCAAACACACACAUGCACACAAGCGCUGUACACACAUCGCUCUACGCUGAACUAUUUUGAAUAAAUAUUUUGUGAAUAUUACUUUUUUUAUUUUACCUAAUUUGAUCAAUUUCUCCUUCUUGCACCGUGGUCGGGAGACAAACGCAAUUUCGAUUCCUCUGUUUGUCUGGUACGUAUUUCGGAAUCGCCAAUAAAGAAAGCUGACUUUGA